This 148-nucleotide ribosomal RNA is filed under the name uncultured Syntrophaceae bacterium. RNAcentral describes it as "partial 16S ribosomal RNA". It matches the Rfam family "Bacterial small subunit ribosomal RNA", at positions 386 to 526 of the family's 1533-position model. The record is from RNAcentral. Lineage: Bacteria; Pseudomonadati; Thermodesulfobacteriota; Syntrophia; Syntrophales; Syntrophaceae.
ACGCAGCACGCCGCGUGAGUGAGGAAGGUUUUCGGACCGUAAAGCUCUGUCGAGCGGGAAGAAAUGCAUAGUGGCUAAUAUCCAUUAUGCUUGACGGUACCGCUAAAGGAAGCACCGGCUAACUCCGUGCCAGCAGCCGCGGUAAUAA